Molecule: long non-coding RNA, 673 nt
Filed under: Mus musculus (house mouse)
Lineage: Eukaryota; Metazoa; Chordata; Mammalia; Rodentia; Muridae
Description: RIKEN cDNA 4933436H12 gene
Source: RNAcentral
GUGUUUCAUUGGAAGGACCUUGUAGAGCAUGUCCCCAGGAGCUGCCUUCCUAGCGGACUGGAGACUGGGUGUCCUCCAGGAGGGGCCACCGAUCAAUUUGAUUUGAGGACUACCCUUCAUGAUCUCAUUUUGCUUUAUAUCGCUGAGAUGAUCCAUUGUCCAGGUAAGUUCCCAUUUCCAGGUUCCGGGAGUGGGAGCCUGCCUGCAAAUUGUAUUUGGAGGAGGACAGGGGAAGUCACUACAGGUUAUGUAUCAGUUGGAGUCCUGAGUGAGAGUCACUGGAGCCAUCUACUGAAAGGCUGCAAAUAGAGUAUCCAUGGGAUAAACAAUUAUUUUUAAGACAGGCCGUUUAUAUGGAAUGCUUUGAACUUGAACCCAGGGCCUCUAGACUUACGCAGUUUUUGGUCCCAGGAGUAACUGGCUUGUUGGUUGAUCAUAAGCUUUGCAUGCUAGCCUUACUCUUUCAAGGUUUUUAUUAGUCUUUUCUUUUUUUUUCUUUUUAAAAAAGUCCAUUUUAAUUGGAGAUUUUGACAUUGACAUUAUUCGGGUUGGGAAGAGCCUGAGGCAACAUAAAGUAAUUGUCUUUUAUCAGAAGAGUUCAGGAGGACACUGGGUGAUCUCCAUCAACUCUGAAAACACGGAGUCCUUCCUGAAAUACCUUCACAGUGAAAAG